This 2170-nucleotide long non-coding RNA is filed under the name Homo sapiens (human). Its description in RNAcentral is "HSALNT0160344". Lineage: Eukaryota; Metazoa; Chordata; Mammalia; Primates; Hominidae. The record is from RNAcentral.
UCAUGAAUUUAUUUUCAAUGCUGAAGUGCAUCUUUGAGCCUUUUCUUCCAGGAAGAAUAUAGGGGUGGUAAAAACAUCUGAGCUUAUUUACUGUUGCUCCUAAUGGUAGUCUGAAUGGUUACAGAACUCUAGGCUUAGACUUAUUUUCCCCACAGUAUAUGAUAUGGGUUUUGUCAUCUACUAUCCUAUUGCAGAUGAGAUGUUUGAGGCCUAGUAGAUUUUGUAUUUCUUUAUAAGUAACAUUUCUCUCUCCUCUCUCUCCUCUCCCCACCUCUAUAACUAUAUACAUAUAUAUAUGUACAUACACACAUAUAUAUUAGUUCAUUCUCACACUGCUAUAAAGAAACACCUGAGACUGGGUAAUUUAUAAAAGAAAGAGGUUUAAUUACUCACAGUUCCACAGGCUAUACAGGAGGCAUGGCUGGGGAGGCCUCAGGAAACUUACAAUCAUGGUGGAAGGGGAAGCAGGCACAUCUUACAUGACUGUAGGUGAGAGAGAGAGUGUGUGUGGAAGUGAAGGAGGAAGAGCCCCUUAUAAAGCCAUCAGAUCUCCUGAGAACUCACUCAUGAUCACAAGAACAGCAUGGGGGAAACUGCCCCCAUGAUCCAAUCACCUCCUACCAGGUCUCUCCCUCAACACCUGGGGAUUACAAUUCAAGAUGAGAUUUGGGUGAGGACACAAAGCCUAUCCAUAUCACUCUCUCUCUUUCUGUUUCUCUGAGCUUACAGGAUUCUCUAUUACUGGAGGUCACAAAUUCCAGGAAGAAGUGUCUGGAUCUUUUUGCAACACUGUAGUUGGUCAGUGAAUGGAGAUUUUAUUUAAGUCUGAAGAUGUUAUCUUCAAUUUAGGGAAAUUUACUGUAUUGUUCAUUUCAUGUCUUUAGCUUAACAGGAAAUCCUAUUAGGUGGACAGUGGGUCUCUUGGAUUUACUAUCCAUGUCUCAACAUAUUCUCAAUCUUCAUCCCUUAUCUUUUAAAAAUUAUGUUCUCAAAGAGUCUAUCAGUUUAAUCUUUUGAUCUAAUAUUUAGGUCUGUGGUAAUUUCCAUGAUUUUAUUCAAUCGUAUUAGAUAUUUUCUGAAAAUAUUUUAACUUUACAGUUAUUUUCGUCUUUAGCAGUCUGUUCAUAGCAGUAGUAUGUCCGAGGAUACUAAUCUAUGCUGUUACAUAUUAAUCAUCUUAAAAUAUUAAAACAGGAUGAGCCAGUGAACCUCAAAGGGGAAAAAUAGAUGAGAUUUAAAUGGCCAUAUAUCUGAAGCAGCGAGACUCCACAUAGCCUACACAGGGGUCCCUUUCUGUAAGAGAAAUGUUGUAAUAUUCCUUUUGCUGUCCUGAAAUGAAGUUCACUGAAAUAAUCUACAUAAUCAACAAGAAACCCCAUUGUAAUGGAAGAGAUAAAUAAAAGGAAAACCAUUGAAAAUAUGACAUAUUUUCGUACAUAAAGGCUCAAGCAGCACUGCUGUAGAAGAAAACAGAAAUCGAAUGGAUGUAGUUACUGUGUGUGCCACAGCAAAGGUGUGGACAAAUGAGACAGCUUUACCUCAAGUUACAGAAACAUGAUAAAGCACAAUGCAGUGGAAACAGCGUGGAGCUGGAGGAUGCCAGACGACAUUCCAGCCCUGAUUCCACUGCUCAUCACCAAUGUCACCCUGGGCAAGGUACUCCAGCCCUGCUGCUCAGUUUGCUCCACUGUAAAAUAUGAAGAUAAUAUCUUCCAUGUAAGAUAGUUGUGGGAUUAAAUGAGAUCAUGUAUGGAAAUUAUAAAGAUGUUCUAUGAUUAAUAAGUACAAUUUGGCCAGGCAGUGAUUAGGCCUGUGUAUGUGUAUAAGAUAGCUGUUACAAAAGUAAAAUAUUUUCUGUCCUCCAGAAGCUUAAGUGUAACUGAACACGCAUUUGGGGAUAAAACGGUGGCAGUAGAAGAAAUGGCAUUAAUACAACUAAGGGACAUUCCUUUCUAAUUGUUAUCAGUUACACUGCAUACCCAGUGGUUGAAAAUAAAAAUUGGUUCACUUCCUAUUGGGGAUUACCUAAUUAGUUCCUGAUGUGUCACUUGGUAGGAAGCUAUGAAAUUUUUAAAAAAAUGAUAAAGCUUCUGGCCAGGCCUGGUGGCUCACGCCUGUAAUCCCAGCACUUUGGGAGGCUGAGGCAGGCAGAUCACAAGGUCAAGAAAUC